AUUGAACGCUGGCGGCGGGCCUAACACAUGCAAGUCGAGCGGAUGAAGGGAGCUUGCUCCUGGAUUCAGCGGCGGACGGGUGAGUAAUGCCUAGGAAUCUGCCUGGUAGUGGGGGAUAACGUCCGGAAACGGGCGCUAAUACCGCAUACGUCCUGAGGGAGAAAGUGGGGGAUCUUCGGACCUCACGCUAUCAGAUGAGCCUAGGUCGGAUUAGCUAGUUGGUGGGGUAAAGGCCUACCAAGGCGACGAUCCGUAACUGGUCUGAGAGGAUGAUCAGUCACACUGGAACUGAGAAACGGUCCAGACUCCUACGGGAGGCAGCAGUGGGGAAUAUUGGACAAGGGGCGAAAGCCUGAUCCAGCCAUGCCGCGUGUGUGAAGAAGGUCUUCGGAUUGUAAAGCACUUUAAGUUGGGAGGAAGGGCAGUAAGUUAAUACCUUGCUGUUUUGACGUUACCAACAGAAUAAGCACCGGCUAACGUCG
Molecule: ribosomal RNA, 482 nt
Filed under: uncultured bacterium
Lineage: Bacteria
Description: partial 16S ribosomal RNA
Rfam family: Bacterial small subunit ribosomal RNA
Source: RNAcentral